GGAUCCAGACUUUGAUUCUGGCUCAGGAUGAACGCUAGCUACAGGCUUAACACAUGCAAGUCGAGGGGAAACGACAUCGAAAGCUCGCUUUUGAUGGGCGUCGACCGGCGCACGGGUGAGUAACGCGUAUCCAACCUGCCCAUCACUUGGGGAUAACCUUGCGAAAGUAAGACUAAUACCCAAUGAUAUCUCUAGAAGACAUCUGAAAGAGAUUAAAGAUUUAUCGGUGAUGGAUGGGGAUGCGUCUGAUUAGCUUGUUGGCGGGGUAACGGCCCACCAAGGCAACGAUCAGUAGGGGUCCUGAGAGGAAGGUCCCCCACAUUGGAACUGAGACACGGUCCAAACUCCUACGGGAGGCAGCAGUGAGGAAUAUUGGUCAAUGGACGAGAGUCUGAACCAGCCAAGUAGCGUGCAGGAUGACGGCCCUAUGGGUUGUAAACUGCUUUUAUAAGGGAAUAAAGUGAGUCUCGUGAGACUUUUUGCAUGUACCUUAUGAAUAAGGACCGGCUAAUUCCGUGCCAGCAGCCGCGGUAAUACGGAAGGUCCGGGCGUUAUCCGGAUUUAUUGGGUUUAAAGGGAGCGUAGGCCGGAGAUUAAGCGUGUUGUGAAAUGUAGAUGCUCAACAUCUGAACUGCAGCGCGAACUGGUUUCCUUGAGUACGCACAAAGUGGGCGGAAUUCGUGGUGUAGCGGUGAAAUGCUUAGAUAUCACGAAGAACUCCGAUUGCGAAGGCAGCUCACUGGAGCGCAACUGACGCUGAAGCUCGAAAGUGCGGGUAUCGAACAGGAUUAGAUACCCUGGUAGUCCGCACGGUAAACGAUGGAUGCCCGCUGUUGGUCUGAAUAGGUCAGCGGCCAAGCGAAAGCAUUAAGCAUCCCACCUGGGGAGUACGCCGGCAAGGGUGCAACUCAAAGGAAUUGACGG
Molecule: ribosomal RNA, 924 nt
Filed under: uncultured bacterium
Lineage: Bacteria
Also listed under: 1 other name
Description: bacterial SSU rRNA
Rfam family: Bacterial small subunit ribosomal RNA
Source: RNAcentral